This is a long non-coding RNA of Telopea speciosissima, 456 nucleotides long. RefSeq lists it as uncharacterized. The record is from RefSeq and is a predicted model, not a curated record. The transcript has 3 exons. Lineage: Eukaryota; Viridiplantae; Streptophyta; Magnoliopsida; Proteales; Proteaceae.
CAUUCUUGCAACAACAAGGGAUUCAAGCCAAGGUUAUUCCAGGCAUUACAGCUGCUUCCGGAAUAGCAGCAGAAUUGAGAAUUCCAUUAACCCACCGGGGUGUUGCAAGUAGUGUUAGAUUUCUCACAAGGCACUCAAGAAAAGGAGGUACUGAUCCUCUGUAUGUGGCAGAGAAUGCAGCAGAUCCUGAUUCAACCUUGCCUCCCAUCUCUUGCUCAGAAGUUGAUGGAUCACGGUCUACCAUCUGAUAAACCUGCUGCUGCAAUAGAACGAGGGACUACCCCUCAACAACAAGUGGUAUUUGCAGAACUUAAGGAUCUCAUCGAUGAAGUUACAUCAGCAAACUUGGUUUCACCAACCCUAAUCAUUAUUGGGAAGGUUGUCGCACUCUCACCGUUCUGGCCUCACUAUUCAAAAGAAUCAGCUAUUUUGAUGGAGACUUAGUUGUCAAGUUCA